RNAcentral lists this ribosomal RNA (1401 nucleotides) under Triticum aestivum (bread wheat). Its description in RNAcentral is "partial small subunit ribosomal RNA". Lineage: Eukaryota; Viridiplantae; Streptophyta; Magnoliopsida; Poales; Poaceae. The record is from RNAcentral.
AUGUCAGUUAGCAUGACGCAGAAGACGGUGGUGCUCUAUCCCUCGCUCGGCGUGGGCCAUCUCAACCCUAUGGUGGAGCUGGCCAAUGUCUUCCUCCGCCUCGGGCAGGCCGUCGUCAUCGCCGUUGUGAACCCGCCGGACAAGGACGCCGUGUCGGAAGACGCAAUGGCUCGCCUCUCCACCGCCAACCCAGCCAUCACGUUCCGCCGCCUCCCCGUGCCGUCUUGCGGCAAGGACCAUUACUCCCACCCGGUCCUGCGCACCAUCGACGUGCUCCGCGCCGCCAACCCGUCGCUGCGGGAGUUCCUCCGCACCCUCCCUGCCGUGGACGCCCUCGUGGUCGACAUGUUCUGCGUGGACGCGCUCGACGUCGCCGCCGAGCUCGACAUCCCCGCAUACUUCUUCUUCGCCUCCGCGGUCGGAGACCUCGCCAUCAUGCUCCACCUGCCGUACUACUAUCCCGCCGCCCCGUGCUCGUUCAAGGACAUGGGCAAGACGGUGCUCCGCUUCCCCGGCGUGCCGCCGAUCCGCGCGGUGGACAUGUCGACCACGAUGCUGGACCGGGAGAGCGAUAUCGCCAAGGAACGGUUGCGCCACUACACGCGGAUGCCGAGAGCAAGAGGCUUUCUGACGAACAGUUUCGACUGGUUGGAGGCGAGGGCGCUGGAAGCACUCAGGUACGGCCUCUGCACGCCUGGUCGCCCAACGCCGCCAGUCUACUGCAUCGGCCCGCUAGUCCUUCCUGGCCAAACGGGAGGGAGCGCCGGCGGGAGACACGCGUGCCUCGAGUGGCUUGACGCGCAGCCGGAGCGGGGCGUGGUAUUCCUCUGCUUCGGCAGCCUGGGCACCUUCUCGGCGGCGCAGCUAGCAGAGGUGGCACGCGGGUUGCAGGACUCCGGGCACAGGUUCUUGUGGGUGGUGCGCAGCCCUCCCGAGCAGAAGGACGAGUCGGUCGAGCCGGACUUGCAGGCGUCGCUCCCGGAGGGUUUCUUGGAGAAGACCGCUGGCAGGGGCUUCGUGGUGAAGAACUGGGCGCCGCAGGCGGAGGUGCUGCGUCACGGAGCCGUCGGCGCGUUCGUGACGCACUGUGGGUGGAACUCGGUGCUCGAGGGGAUCGUGUCCGGCGUGCCGAUGAUCUGCUGGCCGCUGUACGCGGAACAGAGGAUGAACAAGGUGCACGUGGUGGAGGAGAUGAAGGUCGGGGUGGCGGUGGAGGGCUACGAGGAGGGACUGGUGAAGGCAGAGGAGGUGGCGGCGAAGGUGAGGCUGGUGAUGGCGUCGGAGGAAGGGAGCAAACUGAGGGAGAAGCUCGUGGCAGCCAAGGAGAUGGCGGCGGCCGCUGUGGAAGACGGCGGGUCGUCUGACGUGGCGUUUCACGAGUUCUUGAUGGACUUGGAGAAG